AGUUAAAGCUCGUAGUUGGAUUUUGGUUAAGAGGGCGCGGUCGGCCGUUUGGUCUGUACUGCGUUGUCUUGACUUCCUGAUGAGGACAUGCUCUUGGUUAACGCUGAGACAUGGAGUCAUCGUGGUUACUUUGAAAAAAUUAGAGUGUUCAAAGCGGGCUUACGCUUGAAUAUAUUAGCAUGGAAUAACACUAUAGGACUCCUGUCCUAUCUCGUUGGUCUCGGGAUGGGAGUAAUGAUUAAGAGGAACAGUUGGGGGCAUUCGUAUUUCAUUGUCAGAGGUGAAAUUCUUGGAUUUAUGAAAGACGAACUUCUGCGAAAGCAUUUGCCAAGGAUGUUUUCAUUAAUCAAGAACGAAAGUUGGGGGCUCGAAGAUGAUUAGAUACCAUCCUAGUCUCAACCAUAAACGAUGCCGACUAGGGAUUGGUGGAUGUUAAUUGAUGACUUCACCAGCACCUUAUGAGAAAUCAAAGUUUUUGGGUUCCGGGGGGAGUAUGGUCGCAAGGCUGAAACUUAAAGGAAUUGACGGAAGGGCACCACCAGGCGUGGAGCCUGCGGCUUAAUUUGACUCAACACGGGGAAACUUACCAGGUCCAGACAUAAGUAUGAUUGACAGAUUGAGAGCUCUUUCUUGAUUCUAUGGGUGGGGGGGGCAUGGCCGUUCUUAGUUG
RNAcentral lists this ribosomal RNA (670 nucleotides) under uncultured prasinophyte. RNAcentral describes it as "SSU rRNA". It matches the Rfam family "Eukaryotic small subunit ribosomal RNA", at positions 617 to 1300 of the family's 1831-position model. Lineage: Eukaryota; Viridiplantae; Chlorophyta. The record is from RNAcentral.